GAACAUACCCUUUCCUGCGGAAUAGCUCCGGGAAACUGGAAUUAAUACCGCAUACGCCCUACGGGGGAAAGAUUUAUCGGGGAAGGAUUGGCCCGCGUUGGAUUAGCUAGUUGGUGGGGUAAAGGCCUACCAAGGCGACGAUCCAUAGCUGGUCUGAGAGGAUGAUCAGCCACAUUGGGACUGAGACACGGCCCAAACUCCUACGGGAGGCAGCAGUGGGGAAUAUUGGACAAUGGGCGCAAGCCUGAUCCAGCCAUGCCGCGUGAGUGAUGAAGGCCUUAGGGUUGUAAAGCUCUUUCACCGAUGAAGAUAAUGACGGUAGUCGGAGAAGAAGCCCCGGCUAACUUCGUGCCAGCAGCCGCGGUAAUACGAAGGGGGCUAGCGUUGUUCGGAAUUACUGGGCGUAAAGCGCACGUAGGCGGAUAUUUAAGUCAGGGGUGAAAUCCCGCAGCUCAACUGCGGAACUGCCUUUGAUACUGGGUAUCUUGAGUAUGGAAGAGGUAAGUGGAAUUCCGAGUGUAGAGGUGAAAUUCGUAGAUAUUCGGAGGAACACCAGUGGCCGAAGGCGGCUUACUGGUCCAUUACUGACGC
This 591-nucleotide ribosomal RNA is filed under the name Rhizobium sp. Its description in RNAcentral is "bacterial SSU rRNA". It matches the Rfam family "Bacterial small subunit ribosomal RNA", at positions 122 to 746 of the family's 1533-position model. The record is from RNAcentral. Lineage: Bacteria; Pseudomonadati; Pseudomonadota; Alphaproteobacteria; Hyphomicrobiales; Rhizobiaceae.